UUACCGAAGAAAUCACUUUAUCAAAAGGACAAUGCUGAGAAGUUUAAUGUGAAGUGUACUAUAACAGAUGGGAGGUAUGUCAAUACUUAUAUUUCCACACUGUUAAAUAGUAAGUAGAUUGACAGGUAAUACACUGCUUUGUAGGUCAUAUGUGAACGUAACAUUUUUUGGUCAAAUUGGAGAGAGUCUACUUGAUGCUAUGAAUACUAAAUCAGAUGAACCAGUCAUCAUGAUCAUAGCAAGUGCAAAAAUUCAUGAAUGGAAGGAUGAAGUUAGUCUAACUAAUUUUCCAGCUACCCGUGUCUAUUUGAAUAGCUCACACCACAGUGUGCGCUCAAUACGGAAAAGCCUUCAAGAUGGGACAUUUUAUAAAACAGAAAUGGAAAUUGAGGAUGGAGCUGGAUUACCCAAGUUCACUGUGAAAGAGAUACUCAGCUUGAAGGAAGAUUAUAUCGAC
Molecule: long non-coding RNA, 457 nt
Organism: Daucus carota subsp. sativus
Lineage: Eukaryota; Viridiplantae; Streptophyta; Magnoliopsida; Apiales; Apiaceae
Exons: 3
Source: RefSeq, a predicted model, not a curated record